Molecule: non-coding RNA, 111 nt
Organism: Pan troglodytes (chimpanzee)
Lineage: Eukaryota; Metazoa; Chordata; Mammalia; Primates; Hominidae
Source: Rfam
GUCUAUGGCCAUACCACCCUGAGCGCACCCCAUCUCCUCUGAUCUCGGAAGCUCAGCAGGGUCGGGCCUGGUUAGUACUUGGAUGGGAGAAUAGGAAAGCCUUUCCAGGCA